This 1064-nucleotide long non-coding RNA is filed under the name Sarcophilus harrisii (Tasmanian devil). RNAcentral describes it as "lncRNA (ENSSHAG00000022085.1)". Lineage: Eukaryota; Metazoa; Chordata; Mammalia; Dasyuromorphia; Dasyuridae. The record is from RNAcentral.
AUUAUUUCAGUGUGAGGAAAAAGGGUGAGACUAAGCUGUGUUUGCUUCUAGAUUUUUCUUCCAAGAUUGCUGAGAACCGCAAGAGAACCAGAAAAUCAGAUUUUGACAUUACAUGGAUGUGAAACCAAAGAACAACACUAGAAGAAUAGCAAUGUUGAAAAGAUGGACUUUUGCUUCAGGAAGAGUCUUAAGGUGAUUAAAAGACAUUAAAAGCAUAAUUUCCCAAAGACAAUCCAACCUACUCUCUGUCUCCUAUUUACCUCUGGGUGCAUUUUUAUUGUCCAUCUAUAACAACUGUCUAAGGUAUAUUUACUAGUGGAUCAGUCCUCUAAGUUGAAUAUUGACUUGAUGUUACUAAUUAAUAAAAUUAUUUUGGUUCUUACAUCUUUUAAGGGUUAGUAUGAUUUCAUCAUAUUCAUGGGGGACUCUUUAUUGGAUGAUAAUAGUUAUAGUGGACAGCCAGGUGGAACAGAGUACCAGGCCUGGAGUCAGAAAGACUCAUCUUCUUUUUUUCUCAAUAAUAUUUUAUUUUUUCCAAUUACAUGUAAAGAUAGUUUUCAACAUUCAUUUUUGUAAUACUUUGUGUUACAAUUUUUUCUCCUUCUCUCCUUUGCUUUCCCCCUCCCCAAGAACAAGCAAUCUGAUUAGGUUAAAUAUGUUCAAUCCUUUUAAACAUAUUUCCAUAUUUGUCAUAUCAUGCAAGAAAAAUCAGACCAGAAAGAAAAAAAAAACAAGCAAAAAAUAAAGGUGAAAAUACUUGCUUUGAUUCAUAUUCGAUCUCCAUAGUUCUCUCUCUGGAUCUGGAUGUCACUUUCCAUCACAAGUCUAUUGCAAUUGUUUUGAGUCACUGAAUUUCUGAGAGGAGCCAAGUCUAUCAUAGUUAAUAAUCGCAAUCUUGCUGUUAUUGUGUACUAUGUUUUCCUGAUUCUACUUACUUCGCUCAGCAUCAGUUAAUGUAGGUCUUUCUAGGCUUUUCUGAAAUCAGACUGCUCCAUUACCAUUAUAUCCCAUAACUUAUUCAGCCAUUCUCCAACUGAUGAACAUCUGCUUAUUUCCAGUUCCUU